This 71-nucleotide transfer RNA is filed under the name Mesocricetus auratus (golden hamster). It matches the Rfam family "tRNA". From Rfam's summary of the family: Transfer RNA (tRNA) molecules are approximately 80 nucleotides in length. Their secondary structure includes four short double-helical elements and three loops (D, anti-codon, and T loops). The record is from Rfam by way of RNAcentral. Lineage: Eukaryota; Metazoa; Chordata; Mammalia; Rodentia; Cricetidae.
GCAGAGAUGGCUCAGCAUUAAGAGCACUGGCUGCUCUUCCAGAUACCAGGGUUCAAUUCCCAGUACCUACA